This 419-nucleotide ribosomal RNA is filed under the name uncultured bacterium. RNAcentral's name for it is "bacterial SSU rRNA". It matches the Rfam family "Bacterial small subunit ribosomal RNA", at positions 954 to 1375 of the family's 1533-position model. The record is from RNAcentral.
AUGGGAACGCGAAGAACCUUACCUAGACUUGACAUCUCCUGAAUAGUGUAGAGAUACAUGAAGCCCUUCGGGGCAGGAAGACAGGUGGUGCAUGGUUGUCGUCAGCUCGUGUCGUGAGAUGUUGGGUUAAGUCCCGCAACGAGCGCAACCCUUAUUACUAGUUGCUACCAUUAAGUUGAGCACUCUAGUGAGACUGCCCGGGUUAACCGGGAGGAAGGCGGGGAUGACGUCAAAUCAUCAUGCCCCUUAUGUCUAGGGCAACACACGUGCUACAAUGGUGAGUACAGAUAGAUGCGAUACCGCAAGGUGGAGCCAAACUCUAAAACUCAUCCCAGUUCGGAUUGUAGGCUGCAACUCGCCUACAUGAAGUUGGAGUUGCUAGUAAUCGCGAAUCAGAAUGUCGCGGUGAAUACGUUCCC